GCUGGGAUAGUUCAGUUGGUAGGGCAUGAGACUGUUGAUGUCCGGGUUGUGGGUUCGAGUGCCACGCUGGGCAAGAUUCCUGCA
This is a non-coding RNA of Podarcis lilfordi (Lilford's wall lizard), 84 nucleotides long. The record is from the annotation of a GenBank genome assembly. Lineage: Eukaryota; Metazoa; Chordata; Lepidosauria; Squamata; Lacertidae.